GAUGAACGCUGGCGGCGUGCCUAAUACAUGCAAGUCGAGCGAACGGACGAGAAGCUUGCUUCUCUGAUGUUAGCGGCGGACGGGUGAGUAACACGUGGAUAACCUACCUAUAAGACUGGGAUAACUUCGGGAAACCGGAGCUAAUACCGGAUAAUAUUUUGAACCGCAUGGGUCAAAAGUGAAAGACGGUCUUGCUGUCACUUAUAGAUGGAUCCGCGCUGCAUUAGCUAGUUGGUAAGGUAACGGCUUACCAAGGCAACGAUGCAUAGCCGACCUGAGAGAGUGAUCGGCGACACUGGAGCUGAGACACGGUCCAGACUCCUACGGGAGGCAGCAGUAGGGAAUCUUCCGCAAUAGGCGAAAGCCUGACGGAGCAACGCCGCGUGAGUGAUGAAGGUCUUCGGAUCGUAAAACUCUGUUAUUAGGGAAGAACAUAUGUGUAAGUAACUGUGCACAUCUUGACGGUACCUAAUCAGAAAGCCACGGCUAACUACGUG
This 497-nucleotide ribosomal RNA is filed under the name uncultured bacterium. Its description in RNAcentral is "partial 16S ribosomal RNA". It matches the Rfam family "Bacterial small subunit ribosomal RNA", at positions 28 to 507 of the family's 1533-position model. The record is from RNAcentral.